CCUACGGGCGGCAGCAGUGGGGAAUAUUGCGCAAUGGGGGAAACCCUGACGCAGCAACGCCGCGUGAGUGAAGAAGGCCUUCGGGUUGUAAAGCUCUUUAAUCAGGGACGAAGAAUGACGGUACCGGAAGAAUAAGCUCCGGCUAACUACGUGCCAGCAGCCGCGGUAAGACGUAGGGAGCACGCGUUAUCCGGAUUUACUGGGUGUAACGGGCGUGUAGGCGGGCCUGCAAGUCAGAAGGGAAAUCUGGGGGCUUAACCCCCAAACUGCUGUUGAAACUGUGGGUCUUGAGUGAUGGAGAGGCAGGCGGAAUGCCCAGUGUAGCGGUGAAAUGCGUAGAUAUUGGGAGGAACACCAGUGGCGAAGGCGGCCUGCUGGACAUUAACUGACGCUGAGGCGCGAAAGCGUGGGGAGCAAACAGGAUUAGAUACCCUUGUAGUC
RNAcentral lists this ribosomal RNA (441 nucleotides) under uncultured bacterium. RNAcentral describes it as "partial 16S ribosomal RNA". It matches the Rfam family "Bacterial small subunit ribosomal RNA", at positions 338 to 795 of the family's 1533-position model. The record is from RNAcentral.